GAGUAGGAAGGACGCACCGGUGGCGUUGGAGGCGUCGGACGUCGGUCUGCCUGGAGCCGCCGGUGGUGCAGAUCUUGGUGGUAGUAGCAAAUACUCAAGUGAGACCCUUGAGGGCCAAUGUGGAGAAGGGUUCCAUGUGAACAGCAGUUGAACAUGGGUCAGUCGGUCCUAAGGCAUGCGGAGAAAUCCGUACCAAAGUCCCAGAUGAGAUUCGUUAAGUUGAACACUGGUGGUACUGUGGUAUAUGCCGAAAGGGAAUUGGGUUAAUAUUCCCAAACCUAGUCACGGAGAUAGGCCCUUCGGGGCCCAGUGCGGUAACGCAAGCGAGCUCAGAGACGUCGGUGGGAGCCCUGGGGAGAGUUGUCUUUUCUUUGUAAGGUCUUGAUUCCCUGGAAGCGGUUUACCCGGAGAUAGGGAGGAAAAGACCGUAAAGCACUGCGGCUCUUGCAGUGUCCAGAGUGCUCUCGUCGGCCCGUGAAAAUCUGAGUGAGGUAGUGUUAUUUUCGUGCUAGCCCGUACCCAUAUCCGCAGCAGG
This 535-nucleotide ribosomal RNA is filed under the name Copidognathus sp. KE0812_3. RNAcentral describes it as "eukaryotic LSU rRNA". It matches the Rfam family "Eukaryotic large subunit ribosomal RNA", at positions 1379 to 1863 of the family's 3401-position model. The record is from RNAcentral. Lineage: Eukaryota; Metazoa; Arthropoda; Arachnida; Trombidiformes; Halacaridae.